Molecule: non-coding RNA, 129 nt
Organism: Nicotiana sylvestris (wood tobacco)
Lineage: Eukaryota; Viridiplantae; Streptophyta; Magnoliopsida; Solanales; Solanaceae
Source: Rfam
UAGACAGAUUAUUGUAUUCAAUCGUAUUCACGAUAUGUAAUUUUGAGUACAGUCACGUAAAUAGCGCAAAUCAUGAUUUAUUCAGCUAAUUUUAAACGGAAAGUGAAUCAAUUAACAUAAUAGACUCCU